Homo sapiens (human) is the source of this 2931-nucleotide RNA transcript. It is a transcript of the gene named zinc finger SWIM-type containing 3, with no coding region annotated. NCBI's taxonomy places the organism in Eukaryota, Metazoa, Chordata, Mammalia, Primates, Hominidae. The transcript has 3 exons. The record is from RefSeq and is marked validated.
GUCAGAUAGCAAAUACACCCCCUUCCUCUUGUAACCCGGUCAGGCCUAGGGUUCCUCCCUGAGUUCCAGAAUAGGCCACCCAGUUGGGGCGGACCCUUAAGGCAUUCUGGGCCCACGCCUGCCUAUAAACCCUCAUAGUGUGACCUUUGACCCCUGGUGUGAUCUUGGGCCCGGGCUGGGACCAGCCCCUAGUGUGGGUUGUGGGGGCGGCCAUGGAGCUGGGCAGCUGCUUCAAGACCUAUGAGGACUUCAAGGAGUGCUUCAGCGCCUACAAAAGGGAGAACAGGUGCUCCUUCAUUCUCAGGGACUGCGUCUCCGUCCGCUUCCACAACCUCAACCAUGGCACCUCCAUCCGCGAAGACAUCCUGACACAAAAAACAAGGUGAUGAAAACAAGGCUGGAGAGACAAGCGGAGACCACAAGUGGUCACCCCUCACUGGCCUCGCUGUACUACUGGACUGCUCCAGCCCUUCCUGGCCCAGAGCUAGAGAUGGCACCACCCCCGCACUGUGCACACAAUAGGUAUGUGCAGGUGAAAUUUGUCUGCAUUCGGACCCAAUCAAACAGGAAGAGAACGCGGGAGGCAGACAUGUGCCCAGCGUACUUGCUCCUAAGGUACAACGAGAGACUAGAUAGACUAUUUAUCAGUGAACUAAACACACAGCACAUACAUGGUGACUCUAAAGUGGCUAGUCCUGGAGGAGACACCACUGGCAAAUCUCAAAAGACAAUGUGCCUGCAGAGACUCCAGCCUGUGCAGCCCACAACCAAAAAAGACCUUGACACUGCCGAGAAGUCCCUGGUUGAGCCAUCGUUUUGCCUAGAUAAGGUACAAGUGUCCUCAAAGCCAGAGCAGGAAGGCAUCACUCCUUCUGACCUGGCCAAGAUAGCAAAAGUGAUGAAGAACUUUCUUAAGGUAGAUGAGGGUUCCAUGGCUUCCUUCAGUGUGGGUGACAGCCAGCACCUGGACCGGCUCAGCUUCCAGAGCAGUAAGAUGACCGACCUGUUCAUCCGCUUCCCAGAGAAUCUCUUGCUACACCGGGUGGAGAACACCCAGGGCCACAUCCUCUAUGCUUUCUUGGUGGAGAACAAGGAACGAGAAAGUCGAGUGGUGCACUUUGCUGUGCUCAAGGCGGAGACAGUCACCUCUGUGGCCAAGAUGCUGAGCAUCUUCACAGAGUUCAACUCCGAUUGGCCCAAGGUCAAGGUGGUCUUUGUGGACCCUUCAUUCCAUUACCGGGCUAUCCUGCAGGAGAUCUUUCCUGCUGCCCGCAUCCUCCUUUCCAUCUACCACACAACCCGACUCUUGGAGAAGAAGUUGCAUCGUAGUUCAGCAAAUCCAUCCUUUAAAAGGCUCAUGAAGGAAGCCCUGCGGGAGGCCGUGUUUGUCACUUCUGAAGCCAGCCUGAAAAAUCUCUGCCAGAUGUCCCAGGCCGUACUGGAUGAGGAUCUCUUCAACUUCCUGCAGGCCCACUGGUUCACCUGUGAACUGCUGUGGUACAUGCAUGUUAGGAAGGGCCUGCUUGCGUGUAACACCUACAUGGACAGCCUAGACAUUGUCACCAGCAAGGUGUCAAGCCUCUUUCGGGAACAGCAGUCGCUGCUGGACUGCAUCCUCUGCUUUGUGGAUUACAUAGACUUCUUUAAUACCAAAGGCUUGAAGAACUUGCCCACACCUCCUCCCAAAUUAAAGAGAGCUCGGCCGGCAAGCAUGCCACUGAAGUCCAAGAAGGCUUUUGGAAUCUGUGGAGAGAGCCUUACCAGCCUCCCUGCAGAAGAGACCAAGCCAGACGCACAGCAGGUACAGGUACAGCAGCAGUCACAAGUGCCGCCCUCGCAGGUUGGCAUGCUGGACACCUUGCACCAGAGUGGCUCUGAACUAGCCUACAAGCUGUGCCACAAUGAGUGGGAGGUGGUACAGAACUCCACCCACCUGGUGGACAUGGCUGGCUCUUCAGUGGACGUUCAGCUGCUAGAGGACUCUCACCAGGUUAGCAAAGAUGGCUGUAGCUGCAGCUGUUCCUUUCAACAAUGGUACCACCUGCCAUGCCGACACAUUUUGGCUCUGCUGCACACCAGCCAGCAGCCGGUUGGUGAAGCCAUGGUGUGCCGCCGGUGGCAGAAGAAGUACCAGUACCUCCUUGGGCCCAAUGGGGAGCUCCAGGAUCGUGGUAUGGUCCCAAACACAGGCCAGCCUGAGAAGCAAGGACGGAACGACAUGAUUCAGGACCUAAGCAGGGAGUUAGCAAACCUGCUCAUGCAGACCGAGGGGCCAGAGCUGGAGGAACGCUACUCCACCCUGCGCAAGAUUGUGGAUAUCUGGGCUGGCCCCUCCCAGCCAUCUGAGCUCUUUCAGCAGCCAGGAGACUUUAAGGACGUGGGCCGCCUCCCUUUCCUCUGGGGAAAGCAAGAAGAAGGGGAGGGAUUCCCUCCUGCUACAGCUGUGAUGCAUUAUUGAAGCACUUUAGCUGAAGCAUUGGACCACAAACACUUCUCCUUGGAAGUGUGAGAGUUUAAAGUGGGCAGGACAUACUAGGGUUUAGCAUUUUAGCCAAUGUCUUCCUAGGUGGGGCUAGGAAUAUUGUUACAGUAGAGAGGAAGGGAACUCCACUGUGUGACAGUCCUUUCAAUCUGCCCCUUUUCAGCCCUACUUUUGGCAUUCCUUGGGAGCCUCAGUUGUUGUUCAAGGCCAAAGUUAUCUCCGUGCUGCAAGGUCACCCUCUUCCUCCCCCAGCCCCUGAGAUCAGAUCUUAUUUGCUCUGCAAAGAUGAAUCCCUGCCUCAGGUUAGGGUGAGACAAAAUCGGUCUGGUAAAAGGGCCUGUUUUCAGGGACAAAGGGAAUGAGGAUGAUCUUUGGCUGUUGCUGCUCUUUAUGAAGAAUCUUAUUUGUAACUUUUUAUUCAUAUUAAAGUUGUUUUUAAUAAAAUUAAA